UACGUAGGGCGCAAGCGUUGUCCGGCAUUAUUGGGCGUAAAGAGCGCGCAGGCGGUCGUUCAAGUCGAGUGUGAAAGCCCCCGGCUCAACUGGGGAGGGUCAUUCGAUACUGAUCGACUCGAAGGCAGGAGAGGGAAGUGGAAUUCCCGGUGUAGUGGUGAAAUGCGUAGAUAUCGGGAGGAACACCAGUGGCGAAGGCGACUUCCUGGCCUGUUCUUGACGCUGAGGCGCGAAAGCUAGGGGAGCAAACGGG
This 253-nucleotide ribosomal RNA is filed under the name uncultured bacterium. RNAcentral describes it as "partial 16S ribosomal RNA". It matches the Rfam family "Bacterial small subunit ribosomal RNA", at positions 524 to 776 of the family's 1533-position model. The record is from RNAcentral.